AUAUUUAGAUGAUGAUGCAUUAGAUGUGAUACCAAAUAAUAAACAUCAAGCAAAUAAGCACAUGUUACAAAUGUUUCAACCUUCGCAACGUAUGAAAAAAGAAACAAAAUUAAAAGAGGAAUGGAAAAUAUAUAAUGGAUAUAUUUAUGUAAAUACGAAAAAGUUAAAAAGAUAUAUUAAAUAUCAUUUAUUAUAUAUUAUUAAAAAUCAUAAAAAAUUGUUUUUUCCUUUACAUGUAUAUGUAAUAAAUGCCAAAUCUAAUGAGGAUGAAUAUUUUUUAUUUAUAAAAUGGGGAACUAUAAAAAAUACAUAUAUUUAUUCAUCUUACAGUUCGCUCAAUCGAGUAUCAAAAAUGAAAGAAUACUUUAAGAAGAGUGAUGAAAGAAUGCUACAAGUGUUAGAAAAACCAAAAGAUAUAUUUUUAUAUAAUAUUAAUGAUAACAAUAAUGACAAUAUUCAUUAUAAUAAUAUGAAUUACUAUGACAACCCAUAUAUGUACAGUAGUAGUAGUACUACUACUGCUAAUAACAUGAAUAUUAAUAAUAGUAAUAACAGGAGCUCUUUUAAUCCUUUGACUGGUAGAAAUACAUAUUUAGAUAAGGACUACUUAUCGGAACGGGGUGGUACAUAUAUGUCUUAUAAUGAUAGGAAUAAAUUAAAAGGCUACAGAGGCGAUUAUUUAAACAUAAAAAAAGGUUAUAACAAUCCGAUAGGUAGUACAGCUACUAGUACUAGUACUACUGCUGAUACUAAUACGUUUACUACUAAUGUUAUGAAUACAAAUGAGGAUUAUUUAAAUAAAACUCCAAUAAAAAAUACGUCAAGAAAUUUUUAUACUUCUCCUAUAGGUGCUACUAUGAAUCAGAACCUAAUGAGUGAUUCAGUACCGCCAUAUAAUUACAAGCAGAAUAGCAAAUAUAAUAAAAAUGAUAUAUAUUACAACGAUUAUUAUAAUAAUAUUACUGACAAUAUACAUAGUAAGAAUAAUAACCAUAAUAACAAUAGAACUAUGGGUAGUAGGGGUUAUUCCAAUGACUCACAUGAUAUCAAGAAACAAGGUGAAGAGAGCAAAACAGGAGGUUGGAAUUAUUUGAAAAAACUAAACAUAUCUAAUAAAAAGAAUGACAAUGAUAUAUUAAAUGAUGCGUACCGAACUGGUAAGUAUCCGUAUAAUAAUAAAACAGAAAAUAUUAAAAUGGAACGUAAAACUGCACACACAUAUAAUUUAGAUAAUGAUUUUAUACCAAAUGAUAUAAAAAAUAGUAAUAAUAUUUAUAAUAUAUCUCCUCCACCUAGUAACAGUAUGAGAUUUAAUAGAUUGCGUGAUGUGUCUGAUCAUUCUAAAAUAAUAAACAAUGAAAAUGCAAAUAUGAAUGAACAUGUAAAUAUAAAUGAUAUAUACUUGAUAAAUAAUAAUAAUAAUAGUCAUACGAGACGUUACACAUCUAAUGAUAUGAAUCGUUAUGAUUCUUAUUUAUUAAAAAAUGAUAUAUAUAAUUUUCGAAAUACGAAUAUCGACACUAAUAAUGAGAAUAGUCGUAGUAAUUAUAUGUACAAUAAUGACAUAUAUAAAACAUCCAAUGAUAGUAACAGUAAUAAUUUUACAAAUGACUUAGAUUAUAAAACUUAUGAUAAAC
This 1637-nucleotide long non-coding RNA is filed under the name Piliocolobus tephrosceles (Ugandan red Colobus). RNAcentral's name for it is "lncRNA (ENSPTEG00000003533.1)". The record is from RNAcentral. Lineage: Eukaryota; Metazoa; Chordata; Mammalia; Primates; Cercopithecidae.